Molecule: RNA transcript, 6126 nt
Organism: Rhagoletis zephyria (snowberry fruit fly)
Lineage: Eukaryota; Metazoa; Arthropoda; Insecta; Diptera; Tephritidae
Gene name: mucin-12
Source: RefSeq, a predicted model, not a curated record
AAUUACAGAAAAUUCGAUUAACACGAUUUGCGGUCUGACAACAAAUCAAAAUGGCCGCCAUUAUGAAAAUGUAUACUUGGAACUUUGUUGGUCACUGCGUUAAUGCGUCAGCAGCAUCAUGCCACAAGUACUUACCUGCAACUUGCAACAUCACCGUGAACGCCAUUAAUUACAAUUUCAAAGAUGAGGCCACCAGCAAUGCAAACAGCCGCGCUGCAGCAGAAUAAUGAGGUGCACAUCAACACACAGCGACAACGUCAGAUACAACAACAGCAACAACAACAUUACACUACACAGCAUCAACAGCUUCCUUUACAACUGCGGCCACAGCAAUAUCAGCAGCAGAACCAUCAGCAGCAACAACAACAACAGCAGCUCCAACAACCCCAAACCACUCCACUGACACUUCUCAACCAGUCACACUACGAUACAACUGCAGCGCAACAAGCGCGCAAAUACCAUUUUGAGCAACCGAACUUUACCGUUGAUAAACCGCUGAAUUUUGUAGCGACCACAAUAGUUGCGCCCGCGGAGAAAGAGGUGGGCGUUGUGAUACCAAAACCAAGAGUAAGCCGAAAUUCUGCAGCAUAUCCAGUUAGUGUCAAACUGCCAGUGAAUGAUAAAAGUAGGCAGGAGCAAUUUGUGCAACGCCAGCAUUUACAACAACUGCAGCAACAGCAACCGCAUCAACCGCAGCCGCAAAGCACCAGUCUUGAUUGCAUACAAUUGCUGGACCUGAGCACAUCACCGCCACAUGAGCCCGUCUACCCACUCCAAGGUAGCACAACAGCUUACUUGCCGCAACGGCCUCUAGCGGACGUGCCACCGCCAUAUCGGCGCGCAUCAGCUGCCAGUGCGGCGCCUGUGCCAACGCACCGAGCUUCCUACGCCAGUCAAUAUUCGCGCUCCUCGUCGAGUGAGGACGGUUCGAUUGGCGGCGGCGGUAGCAGCAGCAACAGUAGAACAGCGGCCGGUUUUCCUAACACCUAUUCGCGUGCUAGCAGCGCAUUUGAUGACGCGGCUGAGCAUUUCAUAAUCAACUUCCCAGCCGCAGACUCACCAUCGCACAAUCAGAACGAUUGUACCAUAAAUUUGCCGCUUUCCGAGACAGAGCCGUUGCUAACGAAUAUCGAGACCACCGUUGCGGAUAAGCAACGCUCCAUACGACUGCCGAAGAGUAGCGCUUCAUUGAUAUUCACCAAGAAGGAUUUGUUGCCGCAGCGCACAGCGUCUGUGACACCCUAUCACGGUGGUGGUACUAAUAAUAAUUGCACCACGCAACAGCAACAACAGCAGGCGAAACAACAAAAACACAAUCAGCCACAACAACAACAACAGCAGCUACAGCCACUUCAACAUAGUGCCAGCUUACGCUCGGCUAAGGAAUACGUUGCACGCAAACCUGUCAGGCAUUUGCCAGCUUCAUAUCAGCAACAGCAGGAACUACAGCAACACCAGCAACAACAACAACAACAACAACAACAACGCCGUAGUUUACAAUUGAACUACAACAAUAAUCUAGUGACCACAUCGACGUGCUGCAGUGCGAACAAUAAUUACUGCAACGCCGCAACGGGCAAAACUGCCAGUGUCAGUGGCAGUGCGAGCGGCAGCGGUUCAAUUGGUGCUGUUUUGCAUAAACAUAAUCAGAAUUUGAAGGCUGAUAAUCCAGCGACAACAACAGCAACUACCAACGUCAUUCCACAACAACAAAAGCAGCAACUGCAACAGCAAUCAGGCCAAAGCAAUACAACCACGGCUGCGGCAACACGAAAGCAACACGCGUACUCGUGGUACGCUCCGGUCUAUAGUGCGCUCGAAGAGGAACUGGAACAGGAUUCUAGGGAUUCCUCACCAAUUCACAAUCUGGCCAACACAAAGAAACAACACCUCAACCACUACCAACACCAUCGGUCCACAAACAACUCUUCAACGGCGGUGGACAAUGAAACCGUUGCGCUGCUAGAGACGCGCAACCAAGUCAACAUACAGGCGCAGCUGCAUACGCAGGCCAACAGUCAGAGCCACAGUGGCAAGGAUGGCAGCGUUGGUGGCAACGGCAUUGGCAUCAGUAUCGGCGGCAGUGGUGUUGGCACCGCCAUCAGUCGCGCACAACAGAAACACAGCGGCCAAGCGAGGCGUGCAAAUGGUGGUGCACCACCAGCGCCUACAUCGCUUCCGUUGGCGAGCGCACACAAUACCACGCUGCUCAAUGAAAUGGCCGCCAGCGGGUGUGGUGCGGGAGGCGUUGGCCUAUCAACUAGUGCAGAGCAAACAUCGGUACCGGUGAAUGGAUAUGAAAGCGAAGGUGGAUUGGUGAAUUCGCUUAGUGGCACGCUGCCGCCGCGCAGGCGUAUUGAGAACUUUCUGAAGUCUCUAGUGGGACGUAAGUCAUCGAGCGCACGUACUAGCAGCAAUUCGGGUAAUAGCGGCAAUGCGGACGCUUUAUCAGUAGCAACAUUGGCGAGUCGAUCAGACAACAUCGUCUCACAUCAACCAAUGCCCGCCUCUCCGGAAAUAACUAUUACGGGUACGCCAUCAGAGCAAAAUUUGGCGCUUAUGCGUGAUGCCGCGCUGGCUGGACGUCAAUAUAAGCAAGGGUUUGCAGCGGCAUUGGAGCAGCGUAAAAGUGAUUAUAGUGGCGAAAAGUUGAACGUAAACGGCGCGAUACAGGGUAGCAGUUCAUCGCUAAAUGUUGUGCAACAAAAGCUGUGGAACAUGAUGCGGCGCGAAGACAGCGCGGCCAGCUUGUACAACGAGAAGUCACAUUCGAUAGUGCAGUACCGUGGCUUGCGCAAGUGUGAGACUGUUUUGGCGCUGACGCGUCAAACUAAUUCGUUGUGUUCGCCCGUUUUCGGUGGCAGUGCAGCAGCGCAUCUGGGUGCGGGCGCAAAACACGGCAGUGGCGGCGGCGUUGCUCGACACAACAGCUGUAGCGCUGGUGGCGGUGCGAACGCCGGAAGCAGUGGUAUGCGACGUACACACACCACCGGCAGUGGCAUAUACAGCGCAAGCGGCGUCGAGCAAAUACGACCAUUGAAUCGGCUGCGCAACAGCGUUACGAGCAUCAAUGCUGCAGCGACAUGUUCGCGUUGCUCUAGUCUACUCUCCUUAGCCGCUUCCAGUUCGCGUUAUUCGCUGAAUGUUACAUCGAAUGGUAGCGGAGGAGCGUUCAUGCAAGCGCCUCCCUCCACACAAAUGCCCACAUCUGCAUCACAGCAACAGCUGCAAGCGCUCGCAGCAUCACUCGAUUGCAAGCCACCAAUACACUCAUCACAACAACAUCAACAGAAGCGCGAACGUAAAAUUAGUAAUGUAAGCAGUAGUCAGUUAAAUAGUAAUAAUAAUGUAUUAGCUAGUAAUCGCAAUGCUGAUGCAAACGCCGCGGAACAAUGUGCCAGCGGCGGUGGCAGCAGUAGUGGUAAUUGUUCCCGAAAGAGCUCCGCUGGCGCGCCAAGCACGCAUAGCGCGAGCAGCAUCACACCGCCGUCCAAUAUAACCACGGCUACGCUCACAUCAAGCAUCACAUCGCCGCACGCCAGCACACCCACCACACCUACAGCAACAGCAACAGCAGCAGCAGCAGCGACCACAGCAACAGUUGCAGCAAUCGUCGUCGCACCAGAAUCACUAGUAGUCACACCCACCGCCAACUCACCGCACGCGCAGACAACAAUGUCCUCAUACGCCAGCACUAGCAACAGCAACACCUCAGGCAUACUCGUCGAUCUGCCGUCAUCGCCAACAUCCGCUGCCUCCUCGGCGAGUACACCGUGCACCUCUAGCUCCUGCUCAUCGGCCACUACGCCCGCGCCCACCUAUGCGUUGCCAACAACAUCGCAAACAUAUCCCUUUACCAUUACAUCACUGCUGGCAAUGUCAAAGGCGAACAUGGCACACGAUGUCGGACGUUGUGUCGAUGGAUUUGGUGAGGAAGAUGAUGAUGAUGCUAUGACGGUAACAAUGUCGUCGUCGGCUGUUAACGGCGUGCCGGGUGCUGAUAUGUCUGUGUCUGUCGUGGAUGGCAGGCAUUAUGCGCCGUACGCAACAACACCAGCGCCAGCGAUACAACCGAUGAAGCGUUUUCAGCCGUUCACUUGCAAGCUGUGUCUAAUUGAUGUGGAAACGCAGGGAGAGGCGACAACGCUGCAGUUGUGCGGUUGUGAAUUUUGCACUGAGUGCAUGAAGGCCUAUGUGGAUUUUGAAAUAACCGAAGGCGCCUACGAGAUCUCGUGUCCCGAUGCCCAAUGCCCGGCGCAAGGCAUUAUGACACUACCCGAAAUCGCCAACCUAACGACGACCAACUUGAUGAAGAAGCACCAUCGAUAUCGACUCAACAAAGAAAUCGAAAUGGACAAGACGCGCACCUGGUGUCCGCGCGCUGGCUGCGAAACCGUUUGUCACGUCGGCGUUGGUCCACAUUCCGAUGCCACACCAUCGACCUCGACAGGUGCUGGUGGUGGUGGUGGCGGCCCUCCGGGCGCUGCUUUCACUGACACGCAUGGCACGCACGCACAGCCACUCUGCGCCGUUCAGUGUCCGUCGUGUAAGGAUGAAUUCUGCUCGUCCUGCAAGAAAGCGUGGCAUCCAAAUCUGACUUGUGAGGAGAAUAGUCGUCGUUUGGUGGCGGACGGUCAGGAUGACAUUGGUAUACCCUUCGACAAUGACCUCAUCAAGUGCUGUCCCAUGUGUGCUGUGCCCAUCGAAAAGGAUGAGGGUUGUGCGCAGAUGAUGUGCAAACGUUGCAAGCACGUCUUCUGCUGGUACUGUUUGGCCAGUUUGGAUGACGACUUUCUGUUGCGUCACUACGAUCGUGGGCCAUGCAAGAACAAACUUGGACAUUCCCGUGCCUCGGUGGUGUGGCAUAGAGCGCAAGUGAUUGGUAUUUUUGCCGGUUUCGGUAUAUUGUUGUUGGUUGCCUCACCGCUACUGCUAUUGGCAGCACCCUGUAUUAUAUGUUGUAAAUGCCGCAGUUGUAGCGGUGCAAGAAUCGAUGAAGGCGAUGCCGAAUUGGACGAAGCGACAGCGUUACAGAGGUAAGGGUAAUAAUAUACCAUUUGCUUUGAGUUGGGAUAUAUGUAGGCCAGGAUAAGGAAAUAAAAAGUCUUUAGAAGGCGCCAACGAAACGUACACCAGAAUUUGGACAACAAAUUUGAAGCAUUUUUAAAAGAAAACGAACAAAAAUACAGAAAAGUGUAUUGAUGCGAAAAAUAUAAAGUAAAGAGCGUAUACUUUUACCUAUUUAUUUGACUAUAAAAAAUAUAAUCUGGAAUAUAACACUACCACAAAUGUAUGUAUGUAAAUGUAUUUAUAAAUAACUAAUGAAAUGUAAACAAAUGAGCAAAGUACAGCAAAAGUUAUCGGCAUUAAAUAUUUCACUUAUUUAAAAUCUUUAAUUUUAAAACAGCGAGGCAAAGUUCAAGCUUAGAAUGCUGAUUUAAUUAUUAACGAGACAUUUUUUUCCAAAAUACUCAUUGAAAUACAUAUGUACGCGUCAAGUAUGUAUAAUUGUUUAGCAGAAAACUACGGGAAACUAGCAAAAGGAAUUGUGAUUCAGAAUAUUGUUUGGCGUGUAAUUAAAUUCGUACUGAUUGAUUUUGAUUUAUAAAUCAUAUAUACAUAUAUAUGAUGCAUAUGUAUAUACUUUCAUAGGUAACACACAUAUGUAUAUACAUUAGGGUGCGUCAUAUUUAAAAAUUUUUCCAACGGAAUCAAAAUAAUUAAAUUUUUGGUGCCAUUUUUAAAUCGGCCCUACAUAGAUAUCAAUAUUUUUUCGAAAGUCUUACACCCAAACUAAUGAAAAAUAAAGAAGACAUUUACUGCUUUAUAAUUAGAAAGUUUGUAUAAAAAUGUCACUUUAUAAAUUUCUUUAAAUAUAUUUUAUUUUUUAUGAAAAAGGUCAUUAAUAUGUAUACGUAUAUUGAAUUUUAUACUUCCGAUAGGAAAACUGUACCGAUUUUUAUUAUUUAGUUUUUUUUUUUUUUGUACGAAGAGUGAUGCACCCUAAUAUAUGUAUGUACAUGCAUACAAACAUAAGUCGAAAAAUAAUUUUUCCUACAAGCGAAUCAUAAAAUUUGAUAUUUUUUAUGAACUUCCAUCGAGAUAUUUUUGCACAGAGUUAUUAGU